This 540-nucleotide long non-coding RNA is filed under the name Zostera marina. RNAcentral's name for it is "long non-coding RNA (ZMAR_LNC003261)". The record is from RNAcentral. Lineage: Eukaryota; Viridiplantae; Streptophyta; Magnoliopsida; Alismatales; Zosteraceae.
GAUGGGGGGUGAAGAAAUAAAGUCCAUCACUUGAUUCACCCUUGCCAAUCACUUUCCCGGAUUUGUUUUCCUGAAAUUUAAAACAAUGAUCAUCAAAUACUACUUUAAUGUCAUUAUCUAAGGUUAAUUUGCUUAUAGCUAUUAAAUUAACCUUAAAUUCAGGAAUAUAUAGGACAUUUUUGAGUAUUAAAUUUUCUGAAAUUUUUAUACACCCAAUUCAUUGAACUAUUAAUGUUUUUCCACUAGGUAUAGUUACAAAGUGGUUGUGUUCUUGAAUUGGAGGAUUUGUAAAAAGAUGAAGACUACCGGUCAUAUGUUGUGAUGCCCCGGUGUCUACAAUCCAUUUAUCAAUAUAUGAAUUUAUAUUAAAAGAAAAAGAGUAAAAAUUACCAGCAUUGCUAGUUGUUUUGGUUGAGGAGAUUAGCUCUUUAAAAAGCUGAAUUUCUUCUUGAGUUAGCACAAGUUGUUGAUGACUGCUAGAAGCUACUUGAUUAGCAACAUCAGAUUCUAUAUUGGUGCUGCCCUGGGGUUUCUUUCCCU